UUAAAAAGCUCGUAGUUGAACCUUGGGCCUGGCUGGCCGGUCCGUCUCAUCGCGUGUACUGGUCCGGCCGGGCCUUUCCUUCUGGCUAGGCACAUGCCCUUUACUGGGUGUGCGUCCGAACCAGGACUUUUACUUUGAAAAAAUUAGAGUGUUCAAAGCAGGCAUAUGCUCGAAUACAUUAGCAUGGAAUAAUAGAAUAGGACGUGUGGUUCUAUUUUGUUGGUUUCUAGGACCGCCGUAAUGAUUAAUAGGGAUAGUCGGGGG
This 264-nucleotide ribosomal RNA is filed under the name uncultured Ascomycota. Its description in RNAcentral is "partial 18S ribosomal RNA". It matches the Rfam family "Eukaryotic small subunit ribosomal RNA", at positions 619 to 888 of the family's 1831-position model. Lineage: Eukaryota; Fungi; Ascomycota. The record is from RNAcentral.